GGCCCUGGCCGAAGGUUUCCUCCUGAGUCAGGCAGAGGAGAGAAAGCAGCUGCUGGAGGAAGAUCAGCUGUACCUGCCGGAGGUGAUUCAGAACUGCCAGGCAACUCAGCUCAGGGGGCUCCGAACCCUGAAGUGCUCCAAGCAGGAGACGGCCAAAGCCAUCCUAGGGUCACUUAAAGAAGAAAACCUUGCAGCUGCAGAUUGCUGUCACCUGUAGCUAAAAUCAAUGCUGCGCCUGUCUAUAUACAUUGUAAGACUUGUUGUUCACUGCAGAAACCACUGUGUUAUAAGUUCCAUUAUCUGGAUACUUCAUAUAUGGUAUGUACUUUUAUAGCACAAUUGUUUAUAUAAUUUUAAUUUGUUAAAUGAUCUAGUGGUCGAUCCACAACUCUGGUCACUGCUCCCUGAGAAAAGCUCAAGAACUCUGGGCAAAGACAAUGGGUAGAUCACUGGCAGGAUUUUUAUUAUUAAUAGCAUUUAUUUUAUUUUAUUUUAUUUUCCCUUUGGGGACAUGUCCACCACAUGUGGAAUAAGGUUCCCUCAUUUUGUCUGCAUCUCCAACAUUUAUUGCUGAUAUUUAUUUAUUUUGACUGAUUUGGAUGGGGUCAGGUACCAUCUAAAAAUCAGAUAGCAUGUGGUGAAUUUUAAGUCUUUUUUCAUAAUUUCCCUCAUUUUUCAUCUUCAUUGGAUAGCCACAAUCGUGUGCCCAUUUCACCAUCACCUCCUUCACCUCCUAGUCCUUAAGGUUCCAGUCCAGUAACAAUCUGUGUAGU
Podarcis muralis (Common wall lizard) is the source of this 773-nucleotide non-coding RNA. NCBI's taxonomy places the organism in Eukaryota, Metazoa, Chordata, Lepidosauria, Squamata, Lacertidae. The record is from RefSeq and is a predicted model, not a curated record.